This 523-nucleotide ribosomal RNA is filed under the name uncultured bacterium. RNAcentral describes it as "bacterial SSU rRNA". It matches the Rfam family "Bacterial small subunit ribosomal RNA", at positions 355 to 870 of the family's 1533-position model. The record is from RNAcentral.
UGGGGAAUUUUGGACAAUGGGCGCAAGCCUGAUCCAGCCAUGCCGCGUGAGUGAAGAAGGCCUUCGGGUUGUAAAGCUCUUUCGGACGGAAAGAAAUCGCCUGGGCUAAUACCCUGGGUGGAUGACGGUACCGUAAGAAGAAGCACCGGCUAACUACGUGCCAGCAGCCGCGGUAAUACGUAGGGUGCGAGCGUUAAUCGGAAUUACUGGGCGUAAAGCGUGCGCAGGCGGUGAUUUAAGUCAGAUGUGAAAGCCCCGGGCUUAACCUGGGAACUGCGUUUGAAACUGGAUCGCUAGAGUUUGGCAGAGGGGGUAGAAUUCCACGUGUAGCAGUGAAAUGCGUAGAGAUGUGGAGGAACACCGAUGGCGAAGGCAGCCCCCUGGGCUAGAACUGACGCUCAUGCACGAAAGCGUGGGGAGCAAACAGGAUUAGAUACCCUGGUAGUCCACGCCCUAAACGAUGUCAACUGGUUGUCGGGGAAGGAGACUUCCUUGGUAACGUAGCUAACGCGCGAAGUUGACC